Molecule: non-coding RNA, 1111 nt
Organism: Hydra vulgaris (swiftwater hydra)
Lineage: Eukaryota; Metazoa; Cnidaria; Hydrozoa; Anthoathecata; Hydridae
Source: RefSeq, a predicted model, not a curated record
CAUUAUAAUUAAAGAGAAAUCGGUUUUUCGUUGGAUUUUGUUUCUACAUUAAAACUGGAUUAUGUUAGCGUUUAAGUUUAUAUAAAAGAAGUUUUUAUUUCUUUAAAAAACGAACUAAAUUUUACUAUGCAUAAAGUUAGUUAUUUUAAAGAAUUGAAUUAAAUAUCGUUCAUCUUUACAAAAAUUAGUUUCACGAAUAAUUUUCAUGUCACAAUAUUAUAAUGUUGACAUCUUCAUUUUUACUGUUUUACUUCCUUGACAAAGAAGUAAACAAGGAACUUGUGGCAUAAAUUCUUGGCAACAUUACAAAAUUACAACCCGUAUAAAUAUAUUUUUUUUCAAUGCAAAUUAAAAGAUAACUUUUCGCACAGCUACUCGUCAAACAAAUAAAAUGAUGUAUGCAAUUGUUGCCUUUGAUGAGGAAAAUAACACUGACUAUCUACCUCUAAUUUGGCUUGUUAAUGCGAUGAGCGAAAAUGUUCUGUCUAUAAUAUCUUCAAGGAAAUCAACAGAUUUUUAUUGGCCACGCUGGACAAAUAUGAAAAAAAUUGACGCAGCAAAAUCAAUCUGUCAAGAACCAGAAGUUGGUUGGCUGCGAUUUUCUGGAAGAAUUUUGUCCACUGCUGACAUAUGAAGUUCAAUAAAAGUUUUGAAGACCUUAAUAAAUCCCCAGAACAAGUAUUUAUCAAGCCAGAUGUUCCUUUAAGUAUAUAUUUCAGUUCUUAUUUUCUUGUUGCAGUAGUAAGGUAGUAUCUUAGGAAUAGCAACAUUUUUAACUGUUUUUUAUAGUUCCUCGAUGUUCUAACACUUCAGAUGAUGUUGAUUUCAAUAAAAAUUCAUCUUUAACAGGUUCACAUUGGCUGUUGGCAAUAUUUGUCUAGUGGUGUGAGUUGACUACAGAACGUCUCCAAUUUUAGUUAAUGACUCCAAUUAAAUAAACUCCUUUAAUGGCAGGUCUUAUUGAAAAAGAUAUUGUAUGAAGAAAAAAGUGCUUAAAGAAGUGGUUUUCACAAAGAUUUUAAUUCAUGAUUACGAUACGAUUCACGAUUAAAGAAUAAAAAUGUAAUUUUAAUGUGCUUUUUGUUUGAAAUAAAUAAGCAUAUAAUAUGAA